AGGUGCGAAAACUACAUCUCUUCCGUCGUAGGAGAGCUUCCUGGUUACCUUGGUGAGGGGGCGGCUGGCGAAGAUGAGGUCGUGAUCUCGCGCGCUGCAUCGGCCGACGAGGCCACCAGAACGGGGACGCUGCCGAAGUGGAGCAGCAUAAUCGGGCCAACAAUCCCAGAUUUUGAUGAGAGCAGAGUAGCGGAGCAGAGCAGCGGAGCGGAGCAGAGCAGCGGAGCCUAGCAGAGCAGAGCAGAGGGAUCGCGCUGCUGCCCAGAGCAGAGGGACAGCGUUGCUGCCAGAGUGUGUUGCCAGAGCAGAGACGACAUUGCCAGAGCUAACUUUAUCAUCGAGUUGGGCUUCAUUUCUCUAUUUUGUGGGCUUUAAAGUUAGGCUCAAUUAGGUAUCUAUAUAUAGAGGGUUUAACAUUAGCAUGAGGGGAAUCAAUUCAUUCUACCACUCCACUUGUUAUAUUUUAUCACUUGGGCAAAAUCAUGAUUUAUAUGAUCUUUGAUGGGAUUUAUGAAAUUAUAAUGCUAUCUUGGAAGUUGCACAACUUCUGCAUAUGUGCUUAGAUUUGAAACGGGAAUUCACUUUGAUACGAAACUGCACAACUUUCGCAUAUGUGCUAAAGUAUAAAUUGGAUGCGUGAUUUUAGGAAUUUCGCGGUGUGGUCUCGUUCACUUUAAUUAUUUCAUUUUGCGUUGCAUACUUUACUUAACAUGUUCAUGCAGAGCAUUGCACAUGUCACUAGAGGGGGAGUAGGGUAUAUACCCAUAAUUCAUAAUUUCAAUCCAAAUUGCUGCUUAGCAAGUCAAGGGGAAGACAAAUAUCCAGGAUCAACAUCUACAUAAAGGGAAAAGUAGAGGGUUCGUCUUAACCGUAAGCCACGAAAGUUGGAUGCAUCCCCCGGAUCAUCCAUGCACCGUGCAGGGUGUUCUCUUAACCGUAAGCCACGAAAGUUGGAUGCAUCCCCCGGAUCAUCCAUGCUCCGUGCAGGGUGUUCUCUUAACCGUAAGCCACGAAAGUUGGAUGCAUCCCCCGGAUCAUCCAUGCUCCGUGCAGGGUGUUCUCUUAACCGUAAGCCACGAAAGUCGGAUGCAUCCCCCGGAUCAUCCAUGCUUCGUGCAGGGUGUUCUCUUAAUCGUAAGCCGCAAAAGUCGGAUGCACCCCUUGGGUCAUCCCUGCUCCGCGCAGAGGGUUCGUUUAACCAUAAGCCACGAAAUUUAAGCGGGCCCCUUUGACCGUCUAUGCUCCGUGCAGGGUGUUCUUUGCUAAUCGUAAGCCGCGGAAGUUAGUUGGGUCCCUAUGACCAGCUAUGCUCCGCGCAAAGUGUUCCAGCCAUCAUGAGGGAAGAGUUGAAGAAACGCAUGCUAAGGAGAAGUCAGAGCCACGAGGAUCAGAGAAGUCACAGUAACAUCAACAACACCACUAGUUGAGCAAAGAGAACACUGUUCAACUAGACUAGGGGGAGUAGCUGAUAAGGAGUAAUAUGUGCAGAGCAGAGUAGCGGAGCAGAGCAGAGCAGCGGAGCCUAGCAGAGGGAUCGCGCUGCUGCCAGAGUGCGUUGCCAGAGCAGAGCUACCAGAGACGACCUUGCCAGAGCUAACUUUAUCAUCGAGUUGGGCUUCAUUUCUCGAUUUUGUGGGCUUUAAAGUUAGGCAUAAUUAGGUAUCUAUAAAUAGAGGGUUUAGCAUUAGCAUGAGGGGAAUCAAUUCAUUCUACCACUCCACUUGUAAUAUGUAAAAUACUCUUGAGAUAGUGAAACCAACAAAAAACCUCCCGUUGACGUAGGUAUUCAUGACCGAACCACGUAAAUCUUGUCUCGUGUAUUGCUUUCUAGUUUAGGUGUUGAUUUCUUGUUUCACCAACUGGCGCCGUAUGUGGGAAUUUGAGCUAAGGCGUGAGUGUUUUUCGGCUACUGUUCAUCGAAAAAAAUACAAUUCAUCUUCUCCGAUCUAUUCUGUCACUUUUCCGGCAAUAUCAGCCACUGAAACAGAGGCAAACCUCCUUCACAAAAAAUGAAAACAUCCUGCCAAUAUCACCGAUGACCCCCUUCGAAAAAUCGAGGUUCACCUAUUUCAGUUCCCCAAAAACUGAUCACUUCUCGAUUUCCUCAGUAAAUCCCCCAAAAAAUUCGAUCCAGAAGCGAAAAUCUGAAAUCCUCAAAGAAAAGGCCCCAAUCUCCACAAAUUCCCUUUAUUCCAGCCUAAAUCGCUGCUCACUAGGUUCUCCGGCACCCAAAUAUGAAAUCCAGCCUACCAUCGUCAUUAUUUCUCUCUCUCGUAAAACACCAGAAAAAUUUCCCCUCAAAUCCACAUCGUGGUUCUCUCUGAAAAUUUCCCUGAACUCCAAAGCCUUCUGCCGCGCAAACAUUUGGAAUCAACCCAUCUUUCACCCUCUCCAGUCAGACUAGUCUCUCUCUCUCAAAAUCAGAAGACCGCUCACCAGACGCUCCUCGUCUGCUUUCCCUCUUCAAGUACCCGCGAAAUCUAACCUGCUAAAAAGACCGGCAAAAGGUCGACCUUGCUUCCGACGUAGCUCGAACCCUAGCUUCCUCCCUGUUCAAGCGGUUCACCGCUGACCAAAGGACGCCCCGCCCCCGUCGGGAGAACGCCACCCCUCAGCAGCCAGCGAAUCGCCGUCCCUCCGCAACCGCGCGGAGCUCAAUCCUGAAUUGCAAUUUCUGGCGAACCCCAGCUGUGCUCAAUUUUGCAAGGCUAAGUGCAUUUUUACGAUUUCCUCCAUCAAAUUGGGGUCCUGAUUUCCACUUUUGAAGCAUAUAAGCAUGUUUACAAUAAGACUAACACUUACCUUUGAACCUGGUUUUAGCUGCAAAACUUGAGCAAAUUGGGUUUAUGCUAUUUAGCUGCAAAUUGAGCAAAUUGGAGCACUACUAAAAUUUCUGGAUGAUUAAGAUUUAAUUUGAUGUAUAGUAUGCUACAUAGGGUUUGUUAAUUGCUCUGAAAUUUCUAUCUGAUAUCCACAAAAUCUGGUUCUAUUGAGUUUUAGUGAGUAAAAAUGAGCUCUGAUUAUGUGUUCUGCUUCUACUUGUUAUUCCCGACUUAGGGAGGAACUGAGCUGCAAUCUUGAGGCUGAUCUUUUACUGGAUAUUUCCCAUGAGCUCUCGAAGUAGGAGUUGCAUGUGUGGUCUGAGAUGCUGAAAGGGAACAGGGUAGGAGUCGCAAAUGUGGUUGGAAAAAUAGCUAUGCUAUGUGGAAAAUAAACACCGUUCCUUUAAUCUCAGCUACGACUGAGAAACCCACAACCGACCACCGCCGUAGGCGCUUCCAGCUACCUCAGCCAGCCUCUAGCCGACUACGAACGUUGCAGAAAUUCCCAAGAGGGAACGCAAUGGAAUUCCCAAUCCAAAUCCCAAUGGGGAUAACCCCAUCGCUGAAGAAUGUCUCUGCCUCUCGAUUAAUAAAGAAAAAGAAGCUAAGCUAUCUUUGGUUUUCUCCCUCUCAAGUCAAUAUGGUCUUGAACUAACUCGGAAAGGAUGAAAUUUGAAUAUCCAUCUUUUGCUUUGCUUUGCUUUGGUAUUUAAUUUGAGGUUCUAUGGGAAAACAUGCAUAUACUUACGCCAAAUUGCAGGGAUGCUCGGCCAGCCGUGACCUAACUUCAACCAGCUCUGGCAAACGUGGGUCUAGGAUGGAAGCUUGACAAGCUUAUAUAGCAUGGGAUAUUGAGAUAGACAAGGCAAUCAGUGGAGCUAAGAGAAGCUGAUGAAUUAGCUAACAAAGAACAGUAGCAACUGCGGGAGAGCAGUGCUUUUUUCCGAUCCAAAUCCAAAAUCCUCGUUGGCGAUUCUUAUGCUGCCAUGAAAGCUAGGGGAUGACCGUCUUCAUCCGUCUUUCCAAAAUACCUGGAACAGGGAGUAACGACUCGAAAUCUCUUAUUGAGAUUGAAAUUUUCUACAAUAUUUAUGGUUGUAAAUCCCGUUGUAGAACUGCACUUGUGAUUUUAACUUUCUCUGCCUUUGCUUGAUGUGGGAUAUUUGAUUUGAACUAUUGUUGAUUAAAUUCAUGCGGAGACAUGAAUGAGGUUAGGGAAGGAAAAUGGGCGGAGCAGUGGAUAUUAUUCUUGGAAAGCCUAUUAUGAUUGCAGCCUGUGAACUCUCGUUAUUUAAUUUCAUUCAUUACUUUGUAUAUGAGCCGACGUUAUUGGGAUGAUAUAUUCUGAUGGGAUACUUUGCCAA
Molecule: long non-coding RNA, 4186 nt
Organism: Salvia miltiorrhiza (redroot sage)
Lineage: Eukaryota; Viridiplantae; Streptophyta; Magnoliopsida; Lamiales; Lamiaceae
Exons: 2
Source: RefSeq, a predicted model, not a curated record